This 440-nucleotide ribosomal RNA is filed under the name uncultured bacterium. RNAcentral describes it as "partial 16S ribosomal RNA". It matches the Rfam family "Bacterial small subunit ribosomal RNA", at positions 338 to 795 of the family's 1533-position model. The record is from RNAcentral.
CCUACGGGAGGCAGCAGUGGGGAAUAUUGCACAAUGGGGGAAACCCUGAUGCAGCGACGCCGCGUGAGUGAAGAAGUAAUUCGUUACGUAAAGCUCUAUCAGCAGGGGAGAAAAUGACGGUACCUGAGUAAGAAGCCCCGGCUAACUACGUGCCAGCAGCCGCGGUAAUACGUAGGGGGCCAGCGUUAUCCGGAUUUACUGGGUGUAAAGGGAGCGUAGACGGGGUGGCAAGUCUGAAGUGAAAGGCCGGGGAUUAAACGCGGGACUGCAUUGGAAACUGGUAAACUAGAGUGCAGGAGGGGUAAGCGGAAUUCCGAGUGUAGCGGUGAAAUGCGUAGAUAUUAGGAGGAACACCGGUGGCGAAGGCGGCUUACUGGACUGUAACUGACGUUGAGGCUCGAAAGCGUGGGGAGCAAACAGGAUUAGAUACCCUAGUAGUC